RNAcentral lists this ribosomal RNA (253 nucleotides) under uncultured bacterium. RNAcentral describes it as "partial 16S ribosomal RNA". It matches the Rfam family "Bacterial small subunit ribosomal RNA", at positions 524 to 776 of the family's 1533-position model. The record is from RNAcentral.
UACGUAGGGGGCAAGCGUUGUCCGGAUUUAUUGGGCGUAAAGCGCGUGUAGGCGGCCAGGUAGGUCCGCUGUGAAAACCCGAGGCUCAACCUCGGGACGUCGGCGGAAACCAUCUGGCUAGAGUCCGGAAGAGGAGAGUGGAAUUCCCGGUGUAGCGGUGAAAUGCGCAGAUAUCGGGAAGAACACCCGUGGCGAAGGCGGGUCUCUGGACAGUUCCUGACGCUGAGGCACGAAGGCCAGGGGAGCAAACGGG